RNAcentral lists this ribosomal RNA (737 nucleotides) under uncultured bacterium. Its description in RNAcentral is "bacterial SSU rRNA". It matches the Rfam family "Bacterial small subunit ribosomal RNA", at positions 8 to 722 of the family's 1533-position model. The record is from RNAcentral.
AGAGUUUGAUCAUGGCUCAGAACGAACGUUGGCGGCGUGGAUUAGGCAUGCAAGUCGAACGGGAAAGUGCCUUCGGGCAUGAGUAGAGUGGCGAACGGGUGAGUAACGCGUGGGAAACCUGCCUUCGAGCGGGGGAUAACACCUCUAACGGGGUGCUAAUACCGCAUAACACCAGAAAGUCGCAUGGCUUUCUGUUCAAAGCUGGCCUCUGUUUCAAGCUAGCACUCGAAGAUGGUCCCGCGCCCGAUUAGCUUGUUGGUGGGGUAACGGCCCACCAAGGCAUCGAUCGGUAGCUGGUCUGAGAGGAUGGUCAGCCACACUGGGACUGAGAUACGGCCCAGACUCCUACGGGAGGCAGCAGUCGAGAGGCUUCGGCAAUGGGGGAAACCCUGACCGAGCGACGCCGCGUGAGGGAUGACGCCCUUCGGGGUGUAAACCUCUUUUCUGGGGGAAGAACCGUACCGGGGCGAAUAGGUCCGGUGCCUGACGGUACCCCAGGAAUAAGCUCCGGCUAACUCCGUGCCAGCAGCCGCGGUAAUACGGGGGGAGCAAACGUUGUUCGGAAUCACUGGGCGUAAAGGGCGCGUAGGCGGCUCGGUAAGUGGUGUGUGAAAGCCCCUGGCUCAACCAGGGAACUGCGCUCCAAACUACCGGGCUUGAGGGCAGUAGAGGAAACUGGAAUUCCUGGUGUAGCGGUGAAAUGCGUAGAUAUCAGGAGGAACACCGUUGGCGAAGGC